AGUGAACGCUGGCGGUAGGCCUAACACAUGCAAGUCGAACGGCAGCACAGUAAGAGCUUGCUCUUACGGGUGGCGAGUGGCGGACGGGUGAGGAAUACAUCGGAAUCUACUUUUUCGUGGGGGAUAACGUAGGGAAACUUACGCUAACACCGCAUACGACCUACGGGUGAAAGCAGGGGAUCUUCGGACCUUGCGCGAUUGAAUGAGCCGAUGUCGGAUUAGCUAGUUGGCGGGGUAAAGGCCCACCAAGGCGACGAUCCGUAGCUGGUCUGAGAGGAUGAUCAGCCACACUGGAACUGAGACACGGUCCAGACUCCUACGGGAGGCAGCAGUGGGGAAUAUUGGACAGUGGGCGCAAGCCUGAUCCAGCCAUACCGCGUGGGUGAAGAAGGCCUUCGGGUUGUAAAGCCCUUUUGUUGGGAAAGAAAAGCAGCAGGUUAAUACCCCGCUGUUCUGACGGUACCCAAAGAAUAAGCACCGGCUAACUUCGUG
This 492-nucleotide ribosomal RNA is filed under the name uncultured bacterium. RNAcentral's name for it is "partial 16S ribosomal RNA". It matches the Rfam family "Bacterial small subunit ribosomal RNA", at positions 29 to 507 of the family's 1533-position model. The record is from RNAcentral.